ACCACGUAUAAAAGCUGUGUCGCUUCAAGUUCUGCUGAACCCAAGAGAGAAAGUGAGAAGUUAGGUAGCUAAAGAUACUGUGCACUGACUAACAAGAGCUCUCUUCAAGAACACUGGAUAUUUCUAAGUGCUGUUGAACCAGAUCUCCAGAAGAUGUCAGCAAAUAUCUACAAGCCGAAAAUAGCAAUCAGCAUGAUAACCUGCCGUCGGAUCAGCACAAGGCACCAGCGGCUAACCUGUAGUUGUAACACAUCGGCGCAUUUCUGUGGAUCCAACAUAGCAUCUAGUCCCCUGUGGCACUGCCAGCCAGUCAGCUCAGCACAGCGUUCAGCAAAGGGCUUCAGAGCUCAUCAAACUCAAAACCACUCACAGAAACAAUGCUCCGUAUCAAUUUAACCCAAACUCUCGGGAGGGCAACAAGCUGUGGGCUCAAGCGGCUUUUCCAUUUGGGCGUCAGUGAGCAGGGCUGCUUCCAUAAAAGUUCAUCUGAGGGUAGGUUCAUGCCCAAGGCUACCCCAUGGAUGCAAAAAUUAAACCUCACACAGAGCUUUUUUCUUUGACUGAGCUAUAUGGCCAAAUUAAACUGACAGAAUUGUUUGUGAAUGUUUGUGUGUGUGUGUUUGAAUGUGCAUACGUAGGCACCCUUUUAGUUUGCAACUCUGAUGCUUUCUGCUGCUCUGAGGGAUGUGCUGUGUGUCUCGCUGCUUUGAACUUCCACACACAGUGCCAGCAGUUGCCAAGCAAUUACAGAAAGCCUGCUCUCCGUGAGUGCCUUUGGGAAAACCAGACAAUGUUUUCUUUUUUUGUUUUUGUUUGGUCAAAGAAUGACAUAAUAAAAUAUGAAUGAGAAAUAUGGUCGGUGCCUCGACGCUCCAUGUCUGCGAGGUCCAGGUGGUGUGGUAAAGACAAUCCGUCUCCUGAUUGUGGUACCCAGCUGGGUCGCUGAGGGCCAGAUGGUCUGCUCACAACAGGUAAUCACAGCCAGCAUGCUGAUACACUAACAUCCACACAAAUGGGUUACCAAAACUACCCAGAGCAUUUGGGAUGCUGUGACAGUACCCUCCUCUGCCGGUCUCUGGGGCUUUUUCUAUUGUGUCUGGCAAUGGUGCUGUGCAGUAGAAGUAGGGGG
Molecule: long non-coding RNA, 1129 nt
Organism: Sander lucioperca (pikeperch)
Lineage: Eukaryota; Metazoa; Chordata; Actinopteri; Perciformes; Percidae
Exons: 3
Source: RefSeq, a predicted model, not a curated record